CUAGGAUGAACGCUAGCGGCAGGCUUAACACAUGCAAGUCGAGGGGCAUCGGGAGUAGCAAUACUUGCCGGCGACCGGCGCAAGGGUGCGUAACGCGUGAGCAACAUGCCCGUAUCAGGGGGAUAAUCCAUGGAAACGUGGUCUAAUACCCCAUAGUAAUUAUGUAAGGCAUCUUAUAUAAUUUAAAGCUUUGGUGGAUACGGAUUGGCUCGCGUGACAUUAGCUGGAUGGUAAGGUAACGGCUUACCAUGGCUACGAUGUCUAGGGGUUCUGAGAGGAAGGUCCCCCCACACUGGAACUGAGACACGGUCCAGACUCCUACGGGAGGCAGCAGUGAGGAAUAUUGGACAAUGGAUGGAAAUCUGAUCCAGCCAUGCCGCGUGCAGGAAAGACGGCCCUAUGGGUUGUAAACUGCUUUUGUAUGGGAGCAAUAAGGGCUACGUGUAGUCCGAUGAGAGUACCAUACGAAUAAGCACCGGCUAACUCCGUGCCAGCAGCCGC
Molecule: ribosomal RNA, 501 nt
Filed under: uncultured bacterium
Lineage: Bacteria
Description: bacterial SSU rRNA
Rfam family: Bacterial small subunit ribosomal RNA
Source: RNAcentral